GGCCUGUUAGCUCAGUUUGUUAGAGCGCCGUGCUAAUAACGCGGAGGUCAUGAGUUCGAUCGUCUUACGGGCCA
Molecule: non-coding RNA, 74 nt
Organism: Daphnia pulex (common water flea)
Lineage: Eukaryota; Metazoa; Arthropoda; Branchiopoda; Diplostraca; Daphniidae
Source: Rfam